Long non-coding RNA from Triticum dicoccoides, 851 nucleotides. RefSeq lists it as uncharacterized. The transcript is spliced from 3 exons. Lineage: Eukaryota; Viridiplantae; Streptophyta; Magnoliopsida; Poales; Poaceae. The record is from RefSeq and is a predicted model, not a curated record.
AACAUCUGCCUCCUUCCACCUCGGGAUCCCUCCCGAUCCAGUUCAUCCCCACCGGCCCACCAUAGUGCAGCCGCCCCUCGUAGCGCGUCCCCAAGUGCCCGCAGCCCAAUCUCGCCUUGAUCUUCUCUGCCUCGCCGGGGCAGCCGUCGCCGGCAAACAGGAGUUGUUUUUCUCUCCUUCCCCAUUGUUUUUCCCUCUCCUUGCCUCGUUCUAUCUCUCAGCUCUCUCUCUGUCUCGUUUCAGACAGAGAACCGAAGGAGCCCGCCAUGGCCUAGGAGCUUCACCACCGCCCCAUCGCCUGGAUCCGUUGCUCCGUCCUCGGCCUCCCUCGCCUCUCCCGCAUCACCGGAGGUCGCCUCCGCCCGCGACCAUCUUCUUCCCGGAGCGCCUCCCCGCCAUGGUCGCCCGAACAUGAAGCUUCAUCCUGCCUCGUUCCACGCCUCGGCUCCGGCCAGAACGAGUCGUCCCCGGCCUCCUCGUCAGGCCAGCUUCCCCCGUCAAAGACGAGCAGAGGAGCUCGCCUGUUCCUGCGCGUGCGUUGACCGCGUCCAAUUGCUCGAUCUGCCAGUGCCCUGUCUCGAUCUCAAGGCCCAUUCCCUUCCGAGCCGGCCCCCUCUCCAUGUCGACCGUGCCCUGGGCCUCAAGCCAGGAGCAGCUCAGCAGCCGGCCUCAUCCACCUCAGCGCCUGGCCCAGCCGCGUGCGUUGACUGCGCCGCCAAGGCCCAGCGCGGCCGCAUCUGUUCCGCCAGCCCAAGAUCCGCGCCGCCCCAUCCGGCCUCCUCUGCUUCCUACUGGGCCGAGCCCAUGGUUCCGAUAACGUUGCGUUUGUGAGGAUCCAUUCGACUACGUCC